CGAAUGCUGACGUGAGUAACGACAAAACGGGUGAAAAACCCGUUCGCCGAAAGACCAAGGGUUCCAGUCCAACGUUAAUCGGGGCUGGGUGAGUCGACCCCUAAGGCGAGGCCGAAAGGCGUAGUCGAUGGGAAAAUGGUUAAUAUUCCAUUACUUCUGUGUAAUGCGAUGAGAGGACGGAGAAGGCUAAAUCAGCCUGGCGUUGGUUGUCCAGGUGAAAGGAUGUAGGCAUGUAUCUUAGGCAAAUCCGGGGUACUCUAUGCUGAGAUCUGAUAGCAAGCUGUACUUGUACAGCGAAGUGGUUGAUGCCAUGCUUCCAGGAAAAGUCUCUAAGCUUCAGUUACACAGGAAUCGUACCCGAAACCGACACAGGUGGUCAGGUCGAGUAGACCAAGGCGCUUGAGAGAACUCUGCUGAAGGAACUAGGCAAAAUGGUACCGUAACUUCGGGAGAAGGUACGCUGUUGUUGGUGAUGGAACUCGCUUCCUGAGCUGACGACAGCCGCAGAAACCAGGCCGCUG
This 521-nucleotide ribosomal RNA is filed under the name Acinetobacter baumannii. RNAcentral describes it as "partial 23S ribosomal RNA". It matches the Rfam family "Bacterial large subunit ribosomal RNA", at positions 1291 to 1796 of the family's 2925-position model. The record is from RNAcentral. Lineage: Bacteria; Pseudomonadati; Pseudomonadota; Gammaproteobacteria; Moraxellales; Moraxellaceae.